UUUUUCUUGUGGAUUAACUACUCCUAACCUGUGCUAAAACAGAAUUUUCAUGUACAGAUUUUUCUGAAGGUCACAAUAAAGAUACUCUAACUCUACAAUUCUUUAAAAUUCAGCAAGAAGCUGUUUGAAUUGAAACAUCAUGCCUCUGGUUCCUGCUAAGCAUCUCUUUGACAUACGAAGUAAUCAAGACCUUCUGGUGAAACCAGUUCCCUCAUCAGGGUUGAACAUGAUUGAUGGUGAUGCGAGGCUGCUUUGCUCAGGGAAUUUCAAGGAGCUAUGGCAUGUUUAUGCUAAAAGUGAAAUCAUGUGUGCUCCCUUCUCCCCUGCCUCCAGCUCCAUCUGCUUUUUCUACGUCCUAAGUGAGGCUCUGCUCUUGAAUCCUUCACUCCUUUCUUCUCCUGGCAAUAUGGACAUGAUCCCCCUCCAAGUCUGAGGAUAACCUACACCAUAUUCCAAAGUGUGAGAUAAGUAGAAUUUCUCUUUAGGGCUCCAUUCCCCGAAAGAGCAUCUUAGAAGGGAUAUCUUUCCUUUCCUUCCCCUAAACUCAUUAAUUGUAGAAUUUUAUUCCCUAAUGCCAUGUGUCACUAAAUGGCAGAAGAAGGUCAGUACUUGGCUGGCAGGGGUGUUUGUUUGUUUUUUGGCAUGAACAGUGUUUUUUUUUUUCUCUCUCUCUCUCUCUUUUACUUUCCUUGCUUACUUGCUAUUUUUAUUUUUUCAGCUGAACCCACAUCUAAAAAAGAAUUCUUUGCAGUAUCAAGGAAAGAACAAAUAAGCAAUCAAACAGUAAGUUAACACUGGACCCCAAUCUUGUACUUAACAAUUGUAUUGUGCUAGUAGCACCACCACCAUCUCCCUGUACACAAUCUAGUUCAACAUAGAGUCCAUUAGUUCCUCUUGUCUAACAUCUCUCCAUUGGGCUCAUUUGUGAGUUUCAAAUUCAGGGAGGAUUAUUGAAUUAUGACACUUUAUGAAAUUAUUGAGUUCCUAAAGUCAAUCACAAUAGAGACAAUAUCCUCUACAUAAAAAGUUGUUAAAUACCAAGUUUUUGUUUACAAAGUCAAAUUAUCUCAUAGAAAAUGAGGGGCAAAUCUUUAGGAGAUCACUAGAAGCAAACUGUCAGAGGGUUGGCUUUUAAGUUUUUUGUUUAUAUAUUCACCUAUUCUGUUUACUCAACUUCCCAUACUGAAAGAUUGAUUCCAUAUGUUUGAGACCUUAAUUAUAUGCUUAUAUCCUUCUCUGCCAAAUUCACAGGAGUAGCUAUACUUUCAAGUCAUGUUGAAGACCCUCUGAUCCAUCUUUUUGUCUUAUGUGAUAAAUUUAUGCUUUCAUUUUCUUCAACUGGAUUACAUACCCUAAAAAGUUCUCUUCGAGGUAGGAGUUGGCAAAUAAAUUUCCAAUGCAAAAGUAGUAGCUUUUUAUG
RNAcentral lists this long non-coding RNA (1420 nucleotides) under Vulpes vulpes (red fox). RNAcentral's name for it is "lncRNA (ENSVVUG00000011687.1)". Lineage: Eukaryota; Metazoa; Chordata; Mammalia; Carnivora; Canidae. The record is from RNAcentral.